Molecule: ribosomal RNA, 468 nt
Filed under: uncultured bacterium
Lineage: Bacteria
Description: partial 16S ribosomal RNA
Rfam family: Bacterial small subunit ribosomal RNA
Source: RNAcentral
GACGAACGCUGGCGGCGUGCUUAACACAUGCAAGUCGAACGGAAAGGCCCUGCUUUUGUGGGGUGCUCGAGUGUCGAACGGUUGAGUAACACGUGAGUAACCUGCCCUUUACUUUGGGAUAACUUCAGGAAACUGGGGCUAAUACCGGAUAGGUGCUCCUGCUGCAUGGUGGGCGUUGGAAAGUUUCGGUGGUUGGGGAUGAAAUCGCGGCUUAUCAGCCUGUUGGUGGGGUAGUGACUUACCAAGGCUUUGACGGGUAGCAGGCCUGAGGGGGUGACCGGCGACAGUGGGACUGAGAAACGGCCCAGGCUCAUACGGGAAAGAGAAGUGGGGAAUAAUAAACAAUGGGCGGGAGGGAGAUGCAGCAACGCCGAGUGCGGGAGGACGACAAUAGGGUUGUGAACCGAUAUCGCCUGGGACGAGACGUGAGUGACGGUAAUGGGUAAAGAAGCACCGGCUAACUACGUG